CCUACGGGAGGCAGCAGUAAGGAAUAUUGGUCAAUGGACGAAAGUCUGAACCAGCCAUGCCGCGUGAAGGAUGACGGCCCUCUGGGUUGUAAACUUCUUUUAUAGGGGACGAAAAAAGGGUAUUCUUACUCACUUGACGGUACCCUAGGAAUAAGCACCGGCUAACUCCGUGCCAGCAGCCGCGGUAAUACGGAGGGUGCAAGCGUUAUCCGGAUUCACUGGGUUUAAAGGGUGCGUAGGUGGGUCUAUAAGUCAGUGGUGAAAUCUCCGAGCUUAACUCGGAAACUGCCAUUGAUACUAUAGGCCUUGAAUUAUCUGGAGGUAAGCGGAAUAUGUCAUGUAGCGGUGAAAUGCUUAGAUAUGACAUAGAACACCAAUUGCGAAGGCAGCUUACUACGGAUAUAUUGACACUGAGGCACGAAAGCGUGGGGAUCAAACAGGAUUAGAUACCCUGGUAGUCCACGCCCUAAACCUAUGGAUACUCACAUCAGCGAUACACUGUUGGUGUCUGAGCGAAAGCAUUAAGUAUCCCACCUGGGAAGUACGACCGCAAGGUUGAAACUCAAAGGAAUUGACGG
Molecule: ribosomal RNA, 578 nt
Filed under: uncultured bacterium
Lineage: Bacteria
Description: bacterial SSU rRNA
Rfam family: Bacterial small subunit ribosomal RNA
Source: RNAcentral